CCUGAAGAAGCUCAUCGGCGAGCACCCGGCUAGGGACCGGGAGGGAGCAGGUUCGACCCCUGCGUUCAGGA
RNAcentral lists this transfer RNA (71 nucleotides) under Sandaracinus sp. Its description in RNAcentral is "tRNA-Pro". It matches the Rfam family "tRNA". From Rfam's summary of the family: Transfer RNA (tRNA) molecules are approximately 80 nucleotides in length. Their secondary structure includes four short double-helical elements and three loops (D, anti-codon, and T loops). Lineage: Bacteria; Pseudomonadati; Myxococcota; Polyangiales; Sandaracinaceae. The record is from RNAcentral.